CCUACGGGAGGCAGCAGUGAGGAAUAUUGGUCAAUGGCCGUAAGGCUGAACCAGCCAAGUCGCGUGAAGGAAGAAGGAUCUAUGGAUUGUAAACUUCUUUUAUCGGGGAAUAAAGGUAUCCACGUGUGGAUAUUUGCAUGUACCCUAUGAAUAAGCAUCGGCUAACUCCGUGCCAGCAGCCGCGGUAAUACGGAGUAUGCGAGCGUUAUCCGGAUUUAUGGGGUUUAAAGGGUGCGGAGGUUGUUUUUUAAGUCAGCGGGGAAAGUUUGUGGCUCAACCAUAAACUGGCCGUUGAAACUGGAAGACUUGAGUGUGUUUGAGGUAGGCGGAAUGCGUGGUGUAGCGGUGAAAUGCAUAGAUAUCACGCAGAACUCCGAUUGCGAAGGCAGCUUACUAAGCCAUAACUGACACUGAAGCACGAAAGCGUGGGGAUCAAACAGGAUUAGAUACCCGUGUAGUC
This 460-nucleotide ribosomal RNA is filed under the name uncultured bacterium. RNAcentral describes it as "partial 16S ribosomal RNA". It matches the Rfam family "Bacterial small subunit ribosomal RNA", at positions 338 to 795 of the family's 1533-position model. The record is from RNAcentral.